CUGCGAGCUAGAGCAGAGGCUGACCAGCCAAAGCAUCAUCGGCAAGCUCAACUCGACGCGCUAGGAACGAAAGGAGCAGAGAGGUGCUGGACAGUUCGGCGCGGCGAGCUGAGCAGGGAGAUGAACGCCGCGAAGGAACUCCGCGAGCAGAGCGCGACGCUGGAGCACACGCGGCCCUGGCGAGCUGGGCACCGGCGCUGGAGAGCUGAGCACCGCGGAGCGCGCAGGGAGGAAGACACACCAGGGAGCUACGCAGGUCUGGCGGAAUCCGAACAGGGAGGGAGAGGAUCUGGGCGCGGCCAUGGCUGGGGAGGGAAAUCGAGCUGGGGAGCUGCCAUGGGAGGAGCAGGGACGCGCCAUGAGCUGGAGCAGGGCGCAGCUGCCGGGCGCUGGGACAAGACAAGGAACGCGCGCGCCAGGAGAUAUACGACGGAUGAGAAAUAUCAGAUGGAGGGUGGCGGCUGGAGAUUUUUCAGAGGAAUGACUAGUGGAGAGGAAUCAUAUGGAAGCUAG
RNAcentral lists this unclassified non-coding RNA (513 nucleotides) under Zea mays. Its description in RNAcentral is "misc RNA Zm00001eb382560". The record is from RNAcentral. Lineage: Eukaryota; Viridiplantae; Streptophyta; Magnoliopsida; Poales; Poaceae.